This 253-nucleotide ribosomal RNA is filed under the name uncultured bacterium. RNAcentral describes it as "partial 16S ribosomal RNA". It matches the Rfam family "Bacterial small subunit ribosomal RNA", at positions 524 to 776 of the family's 1533-position model. The record is from RNAcentral.
UACGAAGGGUGCAAGCGUUACUCGGAAUUACUGGGCGUAAAGCGCGUGUAGGCUGUCUCGAAAGUCGGAUGUGAAAGCCCUGGGCUCAACCUAGGAAGUGCAUUCGAAACUUCGAGACUUGAGUCCUGGAGAGGAUCGCGGAAUUCUCGGUGUAGAGGUGAAAUUCGUAGAUAUCGAGAGGAACACCGGUGGCGAAGGCGGCGAUCUGGACAGUGACUGACGCUGAGACGCGAAAGCGUGGGGAGCAAACAGG